Molecule: non-coding RNA, 253 nt
Organism: Durio zibethinus
Lineage: Eukaryota; Viridiplantae; Streptophyta; Magnoliopsida; Malvales; Malvaceae
Source: RefSeq, a predicted model, not a curated record
UCGUGCCUAUGCUGCAAGGAAGAAUACUUGAAAGAUGGUCUGUUUGUUCAGCAACAGCCAUUGGUUUUUAGCUGCAUUUACAACUCAAAUAAAUCGCUACUACAUGCACGCUUUAUUGGAUUUUCAACCUGAAACUUGUAUAUAUUUUUUGCCAUUAUUUCAGCAAGGCAGGAGUUUUGUAUCAUUUUCCAUGGUGACAUAUCAUGCCGAUUAUCUGUCGCAAAAGUAUAGAAUCAGCGAACGUUGAAAUAAA